RNAcentral lists this ribosomal RNA (270 nucleotides) under uncultured archaeon. RNAcentral describes it as "partial 16S ribosomal RNA". It matches the Rfam family "Archaeal small subunit ribosomal RNA", at positions 477 to 747 of the family's 1478-position model. The record is from RNAcentral.
CGGCACCUCAAGUGGUCAGGAUGAUUAUUGGGCCUAAAGCAUCCGUAGCCGGCGCUGUAAGUUUUCGGUUAAAUCUGUACGCUCAACGUACAGGCUGCCGGGAAUACUGCAGCGCUAGGGAGUGGGAGAGGUAGACGGUACUCGGUAGGAAGGGGUAAAAUCCUUUGAUCUAUUGAUGACCACCUGUGGCGAAGGCGGUCUACCAGAACACGUCCGACGGUGAGGGAUGAAAGCUGGGGGAACAAACCGGAUUAGAUACCCGAGUAGUCC